CCUACGGGAGGCAGCAGUAGGGAAUCUUCGGCAAUGGACGGAAGUCUGACCGAGCAACGCCGCGUGAGUGAAGAAGGUUUUCGGAUCGUAAAGCUCUGUUGUAAGAGAAGAACGAGUGUGAGAGUGGAAAGUUCACACUGUGACGGUAUCUUACCAGAAAGGGACGGCUAACUACGUGCCAGCAGCCGCGGUAAUACGUAGGUCCCGAGCGUUGUCCGGAUUUAUUGGGCGUAAAGCGAGCGCAGGCGGUUAGAUAAGUCUGAAGUUAAAGGCUGUGGCUUAACCAUAGUACGCUUUGGAAACUGUUUAACCUGAGUGCAAGAGGGGAGAGUGGAAUUCCAUGUGUAGCGGUGAAAUGCGUAGAUAUAUGGAGGAACACCGGUGGCGAAAGCGGCUCUCUGGCUUGUAACUGACGCUGAGGCUCGAAAGCGUGGGGAGCAAACAGGAUUAGAUACCCCAGUAGUC
RNAcentral lists this ribosomal RNA (465 nucleotides) under uncultured Streptococcus sp. RNAcentral's name for it is "bacterial SSU rRNA". It matches the Rfam family "Bacterial small subunit ribosomal RNA", at positions 338 to 795 of the family's 1533-position model. Lineage: Bacteria; Bacillati; Bacillota; Bacilli; Lactobacillales; Streptococcaceae. The record is from RNAcentral.